This 468-nucleotide ribosomal RNA is filed under the name uncultured bacterium. Its description in RNAcentral is "partial 16S ribosomal RNA". It matches the Rfam family "Bacterial small subunit ribosomal RNA", at positions 28 to 507 of the family's 1533-position model. The record is from RNAcentral.
GACGAACGCUGGCGGCGUGCUUAACACAUGCAAGUCGAACGGAAAGGCCCUGCUUUUGUGGGGUGCUCGAGUGGCGAACGGGUGAGUAACACGUGAGUAACCUGCCCUUGACUUUGGGAUGACUUCAGGAAACUGGGGCUAAUACCGGAUAGGAGCUCCUGCUGCAUGGUGGGGGUUGGAAAGUUUCGGCGGUGGGGGAUGGACUCGCGGCUUAUCAGCUUGUUGGUGGGGUAGUGGCUUACCAAGGCUUUGACGGGUAGCCGGCCUGAGAGGGUGACCGGCCACAUUGGGACUGAGAUACGGCCCAGACUCCUACGGGAGGCAGCAGUGGGGAAUAUUGCACAAUGGGCGGAAGCCUGAUGCAGCAACGCCGCGUGCGGGAUGACGGCCUUCGGGUUGUAAACCGCUUUCGCCUGUGACGAAGCGUGAGUGACGGUAAUGGGUAAAGAAGCACCGGCUAACUACGUG